Malus domestica (apple) is the source of this 1415-nucleotide non-coding RNA. Lineage: Eukaryota; Viridiplantae; Streptophyta; Magnoliopsida; Rosales; Rosaceae. The record is from RefSeq and is a predicted model, not a curated record.
AAAAUUUACUGACACUUGAUAAAUGUUAAACGAAGUCCUUCAAUGAAUCUCUCAAGGUGCUCGAAGCUGAUAUUCAGUUCGCCAACACUCUAUGUCCAUGAAUUUUACGGAUUUCCUCUGUAAUCCUUGCCUCAGAAAACAAUCUCGACGCCGUUGCUGGUGGAGGAAUGCCGUCAUACGAGCCCCGGAGCACGCUGCUGCUGGCUGAUGGUUGGGCUAUUGAGAAUUUGCCUCGGUAGGUCUGUGUUACUUUUGGGAGCAGCCUCUCCAUAAAUGGGGGUAAGGCUAGCCGACAUUCACCUCUCCCAGACCCUGCGUAAAGCGGGAGCCUUGUGCACUGGGUACGACCGACUUAGCAAAAUGCCCGUCUGGCCAAAUUAUAGGACAGGUGUGCGGUUCUUAUUUAUUUAAUUUUUUCUCCUUUCUCUCUUUUUGAUACUUUUCAUGUGUAUUCACUUCGAAAAAAUACUUUAGUCUUAAUGAUAUUAAUGUUGCAUGAUCUAUUUUCUUCUAGAGCCAUAAAAUCUGCAAGAGGUUUCCAAGUAUACAAGGAGGUUGCUAGCCUUUCCGGGCUUAACUUUGCUUACACAGAUUACACUGCAGUAUACCAUACAAAGGUUUUUUUAUUCCCUUUUUCCCCUCUUUUUGGGAUAUUAGUUACAAAAUCUGUUUGGAGCAUAAGUGUGAAAUUAACAGGAGGGGUUGUUAAUUAGUUAAUAUGAUUAUCAAUGUAUAUGAGUUAGAGAACUCAUUGCGACUUGCAGAGAUUGCCUAAAGACAAAAAGAAAACAAUGUUUGUUUUGAGUACUUCUCAUGUCAUUGAGGCACAAAUGUUGUACCUGCAUUAAUUAAUUUUCUUUAUAUCGAAAUUGAAUAAAUCUAAUUUUCCUAGAUAUCCAAAUGUAUUAAAGUAAUUGUGAUUGAAGUUUGUUUAUGUCUGCUUUCCAAGAUUCAUUUUUUGGUUACCAGAUAUCUCACUCCGUUUACAAGUGCUUUUUAGUUAACUAAAAAAAGGCUUUUUAUUAUUUGGCUUACAUGAGUUCUAUUACCGUUUACAAGUCAACCCCACAAUACCAAAGUACAAGAGAAACAAAGAUUGGAGGGGCUGCCCCACCAUUCAGUUACUCUUGGGCACUUGAGGAGGGUGUGAUCAUAUGCCUCACUUCGGGAAUUGAUAUUAGGAGGUGUUAAAUGGACCGUUGGAAUUGGGUUUCGAGUCUCUGAGGGACAUAAUGAGAUGGGUUAUUGAUAAAAGGGUUAGGAGGAGAAGGUGGACAAGAAACCAGUACAUUGGAAUAUUGGAUGCACAAUAUCAGUGAUGAACACUUUUCCUUUUCUUUGUUUAGAAAAAAUUUGAAAGAGCCACUGGUUUUGAACGUGCUUAAAUGCAAAGAUUAGUUGCAAAAUUUUGUUUA